ACGAUGUGCGGCAGCAGUGGGGAAUAUUGGACAAUGGGCGAAAGCCUGAUCCAGCCAUGCCGCGUGUGUGAAGAAGGCCUUCGGGUUGUAAAGCACUUUCAGUGGGGAAGAAAGCCUUGGGGCUAAUACCCUCGAGGAAGGACAUCACCCACAGAAGAAGCACCGGCUAACUCCGUGCCAGCAGCCGCGGUAAUACGGAGGGUGCGAGCGUUAAUCGGAAUUACUGGGCGUAAAGCGCGCGUAGGCGGUCUGAUAAGCCGGUUGUGAAAGCCCCGGGCUCAACCUGGGAACGGCAUCCGGAACUGUCAGGCUAGAGUGCAGGAGAGGAAGGUAGAAUUCCCGGUGUAGCGGUGAAAUGCGUAGAGAUCGGGAGGAAUACCAGUGGCGAAGGCGGCCUUCUGGACUGACACUGACGCUGAGGUGCGAAAGCGUGGGUAGCAAACAGGAUUAGAUACCGAGUAGUC
This 464-nucleotide ribosomal RNA is filed under the name Vreelandella stevensii. Its description in RNAcentral is "partial 16S ribosomal RNA". It matches the Rfam family "Bacterial small subunit ribosomal RNA", at positions 335 to 795 of the family's 1533-position model. The record is from RNAcentral. Lineage: Bacteria; Pseudomonadati; Pseudomonadota; Gammaproteobacteria; Oceanospirillales; Halomonadaceae.